AUGGGUUGUAAACUUCUUUUCUGCUUCAAGAAACAGUCGUACGUGUACGGCUUUGACGGUAGAGCAGGAAUAAGCAUCGGCUAACUCCGUGCCAGCAGCCGCGGUAAUACGGAGGAUGCAAGCGUUAUCCGGAUUCAUUGGGUAUAAAGCGUGCGCAGGCGGGUGGGUAAGUCAGAGGUGAAAGCCCGCAGCUUAGCUGUGGAAUUGCCUUUGAUACUGCUCACCUUGAGUCCAGCUGAGGUAGGCGGAAUGUAGUAUGUAGCGGUGAAAUGCUUAGAUAUACUACAGAACACCGAUUGCGAAGGCAGCUUACCAAACUGGCACUGACGCUCAGGCACGAAAGCGUGGGGAGCGAACAGGAUUAGAUACCCUGGUAGUCCACGCCGUANACGUUGAUCACUCGUUGUUGGCAAUACACCGUCAGCGACCUAGCUAAUGCGCUAAGUGAUCCACCUGGGGAGUACGAUCGCCAGGUUGAAACUCAAAGGAAUUGACGUGGGCCCCGCACAGCGGAGGAGCAUGUGGAUUAAUUCGAUGAUACGCGAGGAACCUUACCUGGGCUUAAAUGUAGUGUGCAUUCCCGUGAAAACGGGAUUUCCUUCGGGACCCACUACAAGGUGCUGCAUGGUUGUCGUCAGCUCGUGCCGUGAGGUGUCGGGUUAAGUCCCAUAACGAGCGCAACCCCUAUCUUUAGUUGCUAACAGGUCAUGCUGAGGACUCUAAAGAAACUGCCCGCGCAAGCGGUGAGGAAGGUGGGGAUGACGUCAAAUCAGCACGGCCCUUAUGUCCAGGGCUACACACGUGCUACAAUGGCAGGUACAGUGGGCAGCUAUCACGCAAGUGAAUGCUAAUCUCUAAAACCUGUCUCAGUCCGGAUUGGAGUCUGCAACCCGACUCCAUGAAGCUGGAUUCGCUAGUAAUCGCACAUCAGCCAUGGUGCGGUGAAUACGUUCCCGGGCCUUGUACACACCGCCCGUCAAGCCAUGGAAGCUGGGAGUACCUGAA
Molecule: ribosomal RNA, 1005 nt
Filed under: uncultured organism
Description: bacterial SSU rRNA
Rfam family: Bacterial small subunit ribosomal RNA
Source: RNAcentral